AACCUCCGCAAUGUGAGAAAUCGCGACGGGGGGAUCCCAAGUGCCAUUCUUAACGGGAUGGCUUUUCAUUAGUGUAAAGAGCUUUUGGAAUAAGGGCUGGGCAAGACCGGUGCCAGCCGCCGCGGUAACACCGGCAGCUCUAGUGGUAGCAGUUUUUAUUGGGCCUAAAGCGUCCGUAGCCGGUUUAAUAAGUCUCUGGUGAAAUCCUGUAGCUUAACUGUGGGAAUUGCUGGAGAUACUAUUAGACUUGAGACCGGGAGAGGUUAGAGGUACUCCCAGGGUAGAGGUGAAAUUCUGUAAUCCUGGGAGGACCGCCUGUUGCGAAGGCGUCUAACUGGAACGGUUCUGACGGUGAGGGACGAAAGUUAGGGGCGCGAACCGGAUUAGGAUACCCGGGUAGUCCUAACUGUAAACGAUGCGGACUUGGUGUUGGGGUGGCUUUGAGCUGCUCCAGUGCCGAAGGGAAGCUGUUAAGUCCGCCGCCUGGGAAGUACGGUCGCAAGACUGAAACUUAAAGGAAUU
This 522-nucleotide ribosomal RNA is filed under the name uncultured bacterium. Its description in RNAcentral is "bacterial SSU rRNA". It matches the Rfam family "Archaeal small subunit ribosomal RNA", at positions 345 to 866 of the family's 1478-position model. The record is from RNAcentral.